This 63-nucleotide transfer RNA is filed under the name Dipodomys ordii (Ord's kangaroo rat). It matches the Rfam family "tRNA". Rfam says of the family: Transfer RNA (tRNA) molecules are approximately 80 nucleotides in length. Lineage: Eukaryota; Metazoa; Chordata; Mammalia; Rodentia; Heteromyidae. The record is from Rfam by way of RNAcentral.
GGGAAGUUGGCUUAGUGGUAGAGUACUUGCCUUGCAUGCAUGAGGCCUGCAUCAGAUUCCUCA